GAUGAACGCUGGCGGCGUGCCUAAUACAUGCAAGUAGAACGCUGAAGCUUGGUGCUUGCACCGAGCGGAUGAGUUGCGAACGGGUGAGUAACGCGUAGGUAACCUGCCUCUUAGCGGGGGAUAACUAUUGGAAACGAUAGCUAAUACCGCAUAAAAGUCGAUAUCGCAUGAUAUUGAUUUGAAAGGUGCAAAUGCAUCACUAAGAGAUGGACCUGCGUUGUAUUAGCUAGUUGGUGAGGUAACGGCUCACCAAGGCGACGAUACAUAGCCGACCUGAGAGGGUGAUGGGCACCAGUGGAACUGAGACCCGCCCCAGACUCCCAGGGGAGGCGGAGGAGGGGAUUCUUGGGCAGUGGGGGCAACCCGAACGGAGAACCGCCGGGUGAGGAAAGAGGUUUUGGGUAUCGUAAGGCUUUUUUGAAGGAAAAGAGGGGGUGGGAGAGUGAAAAUUCCACCCUGGGAGGUAAACUACCCAGAAGGGGCGGCCAAACUCCGUC
This 497-nucleotide ribosomal RNA is filed under the name uncultured bacterium. RNAcentral's name for it is "partial 16S ribosomal RNA". It matches the Rfam family "Bacterial small subunit ribosomal RNA", at positions 28 to 507 of the family's 1533-position model. The record is from RNAcentral.